GAUGAACGCUGGCGGCGUGCCUAAUACAUGCAAGUCGAGCGAACAGACGAGGAGCUUGCUCCUCUGACGUUAGCGGCGGACGGGUGAGUAACACGUGGAUAACCUACCUAUAAGACUGGGAUAACUUCGGGAAACCGGAGCUAAUACCGGAUAAUAUAUUGAACCGCAUGGUUCAAUAGUGAAAGACGGUUUUGCUGUCACUUAUAGAUGGAUCCGCGCCGCAUUAGCUAGUUGGUAAGGUAACGGCUUACCAAGGCAACGAUGCGUGGCCGACCUGAGAGGGUGAUCGGCCACAAUGGAACUGAGACACGGUCCAGACUCCUACGGGAGGCAGCAGUAGGGAAUCUUCCGCAAUGGGCGAAAGCCUGACGGAGCAACGCCGCGUGAGUGAUGAAGGUCUUCGGAUCGUAAAACUCUGUUAUUAGGGAAGAACAAAUGUGUAAGUAACUAUGCACGUCUUGACGGUACCUAAUCAGAAAGCCACGGCUAACUACGUG
This 497-nucleotide ribosomal RNA is filed under the name uncultured bacterium. RNAcentral's name for it is "partial 16S ribosomal RNA". It matches the Rfam family "Bacterial small subunit ribosomal RNA", at positions 28 to 507 of the family's 1533-position model. The record is from RNAcentral.